UGGCGACCGGCGCACGGGUGAGUAACACGUAUCCAACCUGCCGAUGACUCGGGGAUAGCCUUUCGAAAGAAAGAUUAAUACCCGAUGGCAUAGUUCUUCCGCAUGGUAGAACUAUUAAAGAAUUUCGGUCAUCGAUGGGGAUGCGUUCCAUUAGGUUGUUGGCGGGGUAACGGCCCACCAAGCCUUCGAUGGAUAGGGGUUCUGAGAGGAAGGUCCCCCACAUUGGAACUGAGACACGGCCAA
This 243-nucleotide ribosomal RNA is filed under the name uncultured bacterium. RNAcentral describes it as "partial 16S ribosomal RNA". It matches the Rfam family "Bacterial small subunit ribosomal RNA", at positions 89 to 334 of the family's 1533-position model. The record is from RNAcentral.